This 253-nucleotide ribosomal RNA is filed under the name uncultured bacterium. Its description in RNAcentral is "partial 16S ribosomal RNA". It matches the Rfam family "Bacterial small subunit ribosomal RNA", at positions 524 to 776 of the family's 1533-position model. The record is from RNAcentral.
UACGAGAGGCCCAAACGUUAUUCGGAAUUACUGGGCUUAAAGAGUUCGUAGGCGGUAUGACAAGUAGGGUGUGAAAGCCCCCGGCUCAACCGGGGAAUUGCGCCCUAAACUGGCGAGCUGGAGUGAGAUAGGGGUGUGUGGAACUUCCGGUGGAGCGGUGAAAUGUGUUGAUAUCGGAAGGAACACCAGUGGCGAAAGCGGCUUCCUGGUCCAGCACCGACGUUCAGGCACGAAAGCGUGGGGAGCAAACAGG